GCUCCAUGGGGAGGGGGACGGGGAACCGCGGGGGGGGAAACCCCACGACCAGUGAAAAAGAGAGAAACCCGCCGAUGGCCCACGCAAGUGGGAUCAGGUAAGGGUGAAAGGGUGCGGUAAGAGCGCACCGCGCGGCUGGUAACAGUCCGUGGCACGGUAAACUCCACCCGGAGCAAGGCCAAAUAGGGGUUCAUAAGGUACGGCCCGUACUGAACCCGGGUAGGCUGCUUGAGCCAGUGAGCGAUUGCUGGC
This 252-nucleotide RNase P RNA is filed under the name Salmonella enterica subsp. enterica serovar Tennessee. RNAcentral's name for it is "bacterial RNase P". It matches the Rfam family "Bacterial RNase P class A", at positions 56 to 303 of the family's 367-position model. Rfam says of the family: Ribonuclease P (RNase P) is a ubiquitous endoribonuclease, found in archaea, bacteria and eukarya as well as chloroplasts and mitochondria. Its best characterised activity is the generation of mature 5'-ends of tRNAs by cleaving the 5'-leader elements of precursor-tRNAs. Cellular RNase Ps are ribonucleoproteins. The record is from RNAcentral. Lineage: Bacteria; Pseudomonadati; Pseudomonadota; Gammaproteobacteria; Enterobacterales; Enterobacteriaceae.